Molecule: transfer RNA, 71 nt
Filed under: Aeromicrobium sp.
Lineage: Bacteria; Bacillati; Actinomycetota; Actinomycetes; Propionibacteriales; Nocardioidaceae
Also listed under: 1 other name
Description: tRNA-Gly
Rfam family: tRNA
About the family: Transfer RNA (tRNA) molecules are approximately 80 nucleotides in length. Their secondary structure includes four short double-helical elements and three loops (D, anti-codon, and T loops). Further hydrogen bonds mediate the characteristic L-shaped molecular structure. tRNAs have two regions of fundamental functional importance: the anti-codon, which is responsible for specific mRNA codon recognition, and the 3' end, to which the tRNAs corresponding amino acid is attached (by aminoacyl-tRNA synthetases). tRNAs cope with the degeneracy of the genetic code in two manners: having more than one tRNA (with a specific anti-codon) for a particular amino acid; and 'wobble' base-pairing, i.e. permitting non-standard base-pairing at the 3rd anti-codon position.
Source: RNAcentral
GCCGGCGUAGCUCAAUGGCAGAGCGCUUGCUUCCCAAGCAAGAUACGCGGGUUCGAUUCCCGUCGCCGGCU